UACGUAGGUGGCAAGCGUUGUCCGGAAUUAUUGGGCGUAAAGCGCGCGCAGGUGGUUUCUUAAGUCUGAUGUGAAAGCCCACGGCUCAACCGUGGAGGGUCAUUGGAAACUGGGGAACUUGAGUGCAGGAGAGAAGAGUGGAAUUCCACGUGUAGCGGUGAAAUGCGUAGAGAUGUGGAGGAACACCGAUGGCGAAGGCAGGUCUCUGGGCCGAUACUGACGCUGAGACGCGAAAGCGUGGGGAGCAAACAGG
RNAcentral lists this ribosomal RNA (253 nucleotides) under uncultured bacterium. RNAcentral's name for it is "partial 16S ribosomal RNA". It matches the Rfam family "Bacterial small subunit ribosomal RNA", at positions 524 to 776 of the family's 1533-position model. The record is from RNAcentral.